RNAcentral lists this ribosomal RNA (141 nucleotides) under Kluyveromyces marxianus. Its description in RNAcentral is "partial large subunit ribosomal RNA". It matches the Rfam family "Eukaryotic large subunit ribosomal RNA", at positions 127 to 265 of the family's 3401-position model. The record is from RNAcentral. Lineage: Eukaryota; Fungi; Ascomycota; Saccharomycetes; Saccharomycetales; Saccharomycetaceae.
GUCUUCGACGUCCGAGUUGUAAUUUGAAGAAGGCGACUUUGUAGCUGGUCCUUGUCUAUGUUCCUUGGAACAGGACGUCAUAGAGGGUGAGAAUCCCGUGUGGCGAGGAUCCCAGUUAUUUGUAAAGUGCUUUCGACGAGU